Aethalodelphis obliquidens (Pacific white-sided dolphin) is the source of this 251-nucleotide long non-coding RNA. RefSeq lists it as uncharacterized. The transcript is spliced from 3 exons. The record is from RefSeq and is a predicted model, not a curated record. NCBI's taxonomy places the organism in Eukaryota, Metazoa, Chordata, Mammalia, Artiodactyla, Delphinidae.
CUACAGAACACUUCAAACCCUAAGGGAAACUGGAAGGAGACUGGAUGCUGAAAUGAUAAUGUGGAAAUCACCCUGACUGAACAGGAACAUCUGUGUUGGAUUUCGUUGUGGAAUGGACUUCAGUUUGUCACAGUGCUAGACAAAUGCUUUGAAGAAGAGGAAGUUAUAGCAAAUAUCUGGAAAGGAAGAAAAAGGAGAAAACACCUCCAAAGGAUGAAGAAAUUGUAAGGGAAUGAUUGGAUUCUAAAAGU